CGCUGGCGGCGUGCCUAACACAUGCAAGUCGAACGCGAAAGCCCGCAAGGGUUAGUAGAGUGGCGCACGGGUGAGUAACACGUGGACAACCUGCCUUCGAGUGGGGAAUAACCUUCCGAAAGGGGGGCUAAUACCGCAUAAAACCUCGGAACACAAGUUCUGGGGUUGAAAAGAGCAAUUUGCUCGAAGAGGGGUCCGCGCCUGAUUAGCUAGUUGGUGAGGUAACGGCUCACCAAGGCUUCGAUCAGUAGCCGUCCUGAGAGGGAGCACGGCCACACUGGAACUGAGACACGGUCCAGACUCCUACGGGAGGCAGCAGUGGGGAAUUUUUGGCAAUGGGCGAAAGCCUGACCAAGCAACGCCGCGUGGGUGAUGAAGUAUCUUGGUACGUAAAACCCUUUCGGCAGGGACGAACCUAAUGACGGUACCUGCGGAAGAAGCCCCGGCUAACUCCGUGCCAGCAGCCGCGGUAAUACGGGGGGGGCAAGCGUUGUUCGGAAUUACUGGGCGUAAAGGGCGCGUAGGCGGUUGGAUAAGUCAGCUGUGAAAACCACGGGCUUAACUCGUGGCCUGCAGUUGAGACUGUCUGGCUUGAGUGUG
This 600-nucleotide ribosomal RNA is filed under the name uncultured Acidobacteriota bacterium. RNAcentral describes it as "bacterial SSU rRNA". It matches the Rfam family "Bacterial small subunit ribosomal RNA", at positions 34 to 650 of the family's 1533-position model. The record is from RNAcentral. Lineage: Bacteria; Pseudomonadati; Acidobacteriota.